AUUUUGUAAGGUCCUGUUUUUCCCAUCUGUGCAGGAUGGCAAAGGUCACAAGACAUGCCUGAGUUACAAGACCUGUCACAGUUUAACUGCGUUUGUUCUGCUUCUGUAAGCUUGCUUUCCCCACCCCACAAGUUUUGCACCACAGGCCAACACCCUUUGGUCACAUGAAUAAAAGUCAAGCCCUUUCUUUGCUCAUUGCUCAGCCUCUGGGUAUUAAUCUGCUGAGCUGGUGGCCACCUAAAUACAAUCGUCCUGUUCCCCUCAUUGGUCUCUCCGGUCUCCUGAUUCCAGCCACAUUUUGGUGAGCCAGCCAGGAGUGAAGACGACAGGUUUGCUGUCUCCUUUGCCUGUGGGUCUGGGGCCCCAGCCUGGGGGAGACCCGUGACUCCAGGCAUGCUAUCAGGACAACUUCAACCCGAGGGGAGAUCAGCUCUCCCGCAACCUGGUGCCGCUCUCUGACAGCACAACAGAACCUAAGGGGCUACAGGAUGAUUCAAGGAACAGUGUGCUACAGGACCUCGCAAGAAGACCCUCACCAGAUGCAGCCCCUCUAUGUUGGACUUCCCAGCCUCCGGAAGUUAGAAAUGUGCUACAACCACUCAAGGUCUGCAAACAGAUUCCUAUUUAGAUGUUGUUGAGAGCUGAAUUUCUGGAACAAGAGAUAUAGAUUAAGACUGUUGUUACAUGUUGCCUACAUGACUUUCAAAAGCUUGAUUCCCAGUGGCGCUCUCAACAGCAGUCAUAAACAAUGACAGUGAAUGGAAAACUUAAUUUUGGGACUCUGUCAUCUGCACACCUAUGUUCCCAGAGUUUGAGGAAUCAAUGCAAGUGGUUUAGAUGUGACAGUUUGGAAAAAUAUACUUCCCCAGUGCCUAUAAAAGUAAGUACCUCCGAGUGAAGCGUUAGUAUUAGGAGAGAUCAGAGCCAUAUAUGUUAAUUAGCUUGUUAAUUAUUCUCUACUGUCACGUAAGAUGAAAAUUUCUAUGUGUUUUCCAUAUAUCACUUUAUUAGCUUUUGAAAUUUAUUUUAUCUCAAUUUUGCCUGUAUAAAAUGUGGUGUAUGAUGUUCUGGGAUACAUGGGAAUGGUGUGGAAAUCAGAACAGGAUGUGUUCCAGUCCAAACAUAUCUUUAGAGUUGACUGUGCCCACAAAUGUGUUUCUGUGAGUGAUGGUCUGACAAGUGAUAGUCUGACAAGACAUGACCGUUUUCCAAAUUUUUACUUACAAAUUAAAACACGAAAGUAAAUCUAUAAUGUAUGUUUAUGAAAAAUAUUUUGAUAUCAUCUCAGCCAUUUAAUAAGUCCCUAAAGAGGCUCUCAUUUAUUCCUGAAGAAGAGUCCUUAAUAUAUUGUGAAUGCUCGUUGAUUCUGAUAGCAAGUUGACUCCCCAUUACUGCAACUGUUUUUAUAAUGUAGAAAGAGCGCUAAGUGUCAAGCACUUUACCUUUCCAUAGCUAAGGAAAUCCUUAAAAAUAUAAUGGGGUUCCAAAUCAUAGAGUCAUUUUAGUACUUUAAUAAGACCACGAUUUGUUUAAUGUGAGCAGAGAAACAUUGUAAUCAGAAUUAUCCUUACCUGUAGGAGGUACAGACUCUAGUGAAUUAUGAGGGAUGCUGGAAUGCGUUUCUGACCCAAUUGAUCUUGCAAUUAGUACUGACCAUGAAGUUUAUUUGGUGAUUACUUCAUUUACUUAAGGCAGUAAUUAUGGGAAGAAAGGAUUGGGUAAAUGUUGGUCAAAAUAUACAAAAUUUCAGUUGGGGGAAGAAGUUCUAGAGAUCUACUGUACAGUAUGAUGACUAUAGUUAAUAACAGUGUAUUAACUAGUUAAUGUAUAAUUAAUAUAUAAUAUAUUUUAGGUAUUCUCACCACAAAAACUGAUAAGUAUGUGUGGUAAUGCAUAUGUUAAUUAUAUUUACCUAAACCAACAAUAUAUACAUAUUUUAAAGCAUCGUGUCAUAUACCAUAAAUAUAUACAAUUCUUUUUUGUCAAUUAAAAAUAAUAAUAAAAAACAAAUGUUAUCCAGAAGAGUUUUAAUACUCAGAACUGUUUGAUAAUAACUUAUUGUGUGUUAAUUUAUACAUUGCCUUUAUUUAUCCCCAUUCAG
This 2101-nucleotide long non-coding RNA is filed under the name Homo sapiens (human). RNAcentral describes it as "HSALNT0287876". The record is from RNAcentral. Lineage: Eukaryota; Metazoa; Chordata; Mammalia; Primates; Hominidae.